CAGUAGCCACGGGAAGACGAACCGUGCAAACGUUACUCGGAAUCACUGGGCUUAAAGCGCACGUAGGCGGUCCGCUAAGACAGAUGUGGAAUCCCCGGGCUUAACCUGGGAACUGCAUUUGUGACUGGCGGGCUAGAGUAUGGCAGAGGGGGGUAGAGUUCCACGUGUAGCAGUGAAAUGCGUAGAGAUGUGGAGGAAUACCGAUGGCGAAGGCAGCCCCCUGGGCCAAUACUGACGCUCAUGCACGAAAGCGUGGGAAGCAAACAGGAUUAGAUACCCCGGUAGUCCCUGUCUCUUAUAA
This 301-nucleotide ribosomal RNA is filed under the name uncultured bacterium. RNAcentral describes it as "partial 16S ribosomal RNA". It matches the Rfam family "Bacterial small subunit ribosomal RNA", at positions 509 to 809 of the family's 1533-position model. The record is from RNAcentral.